Molecule: long non-coding RNA, 232 nt
Filed under: Gallus gallus (chicken)
Lineage: Eukaryota; Metazoa; Chordata; Aves; Galliformes; Phasianidae
Source: RNAcentral
CCAGUGACGAUACGAACUCGCUCAUUGCUAUUCAUACGCUUAUAUUUGUUUUCAGACCUGCUGACAAACUGUAGUAUUUGGCCCAAGAGAAAGCUUGCUCUGGACAGACGAGGGCUGGUUUUUGGGUCACUCUGUGGGGCAGGCUCCUCUGGCUGCAGUGUAUUCCGGAGAGCCCUCAGGGUGUUGUGUGAGCUCUCUGUCUCAUCUUUGCUUCCUCUGUGCAUCAGCCGCU